Molecule: long non-coding RNA, 1840 nt
Organism: Saccostrea cuccullata (small rock oyster)
Lineage: Eukaryota; Metazoa; Mollusca; Bivalvia; Ostreida; Ostreidae
Exons: 3
Source: RefSeq, a predicted model, not a curated record
CCCCCUGGGUCUUUUUCAAUUGUCAGGAAAUAAGGGCCCCCUGUACAGUGAUCAAAAUCAUCCAGAAUCGUAUCAAAAGUCCGCCAUAAUGAAGAAAGUGAAAAUGAAACUUUGUUAUUAGGUAACUCAUACAUCAAAUAUUCUUGAAAGUAAAAGAUUUUUAGAACGACCUAAUCAUGUAUUUCUGAAAGUGAAAGUUAAAAAUACAAGUACAAAAUAUCUUCUCCUUGUCGAUUCCCUAAUUUCAAAGUGGGAAAAUGAGUCAUAUAGCAUAAUUUGGGUGGAUUAUUGUAAUUUAAAGGAAGCUACAGGUCCAUCAAAGACAGCAUGGGGAAAUUUGGAGCAGGCAGGACGACCUGGGUUUAUAUUGAUAAAAUGAAUGAAAUUCUUCACAAAGACAGAUCAACUGAACCUUCAGCCACCAGCAGUUCAUAUAAUAAUGGACAAUUAACAACCCCUAAGAGAAAGGACACAACACAACCAGAAACAUGCACAAAGAAACAAAAGAAAGUCAACAAGCAAAUGCCGGGAUGGUUUGAAGACUAUUUGAAGGAGCAGAAGGAGGACAGGAAUAAGGAGCGGGAGGAAAUGAGGAAAUUUCGAGAGGACAUUGUUAUAUAAAAACAUGGAACAAAAAAACUCAAUUCUCAAAAACCUGACAGACAUUCUAUCAAAAUCUCUUAAAUAAUUAGAUUUAAAUCAUUUCAGCUUUAGAGCUUUGUAAACUUUGACUCUUAUUAAUUAACAUACUAGUAAUGCACUUUGAAAUGAAAUCAACAAUGACGUUACAUUCUUAAGAGCCAGUCCGCGAGAAAACCAUGCAAAAUUUAAAAAAUCGUCCAAAUGGAAGGUUGCAACUUGGGAAUUUUAAGUGGCUUAAAAUUUUCUACAUAAAGGUAGAAGUCAGAAUAUCUACAAAAAAAUGUCGAACCCUGCAUCUAUUUUUAGUAACAGCUCAUUUGCAUAUUUGUCGAAAAUCGCACAAAAUUUAAUGGAAAAUGUAUACAAAUUGAUCAAGUCAAAAAAGUUACCAUUUGUCAUCAGUUUACUUUCAAAUUUUGUUUUAUUUUCAAAGUCAUGGUCUAAUUAACACAAAUAAUGAGGAAAAACUUAAUUCAAAUAAAUAUUUUAUUUUUGGCACAUCUAUUUAUAGAUCCUAAAUAAAUGAGUAUGAUUUUUUAGCCAUUUUUAGAUGCUCAUUUCUCUCAAGACCAAGGCAGAAAAUAAAUUAAAUUAAUUGUUACUUUAAGAAUGAUCUAAGUUCUACUCUGUAUUAAAAUAUUGAGCUUGGGAAAUAAUAUCUACAUGAUGUAAAUUAACUUUGAAAUACCAUAUUUUGCUACAAUUUCACAUAUUUUAAAUAACAGACUUUUACUAUAUUUUUGGAUUAUUUCUAUGAUAUUUAAAUGAAAAAAAGAAGAUUCUUAAUCUAAUAUAUUUUUUAGAAGAGGAAUAACUGAUUUGAAUACUUCAUAUAACUUUCUUUUGCUUAUUUUAGCCCCUUGUUACCAAUUUGCUGGAGUUAAAUUGUUAUCUCCCCUCGUUGGAACUCUUUUGUAUUAUUGGGUAAAAAGUGACAGGUAUGUCAAUAUGGAGAGAAGUCAUUUAUGAGCAUUUUUUCUUCACCUAGGGAGUUGUUGUGGAGCAUAAUUGCACUAUGAAAGAGGAAAAAAUUAUUUUAAAAUAUUUGAAUGUAAGAAAGAAACAACAACUUAGCUUGAAUAAACAAAUAACAGGCCCAGAGGAAGCAAUUUCAGUGUGGGGGAGGGGGGACAACCUACAUUAUCAACUACCAAGAAUUCCAUAGAAAGUAAAAAAAAAUAAAAGUUCAUCAUAUGUU